GGGAAGGAUUCAAUUUAUAGGACUAAAAGGUUAGUUAAGAGAAAGUGAAAGUAAAGUGGCUGAGAAAACUUUUACUUUUGCAUUGAGGGAGCGUAGCAGAAAGCUGUCAACUGUUCACUUGUUAGCAAGAGGCGAAAAUAAGCUAACAAUAGAUUACCUGGAUAACUGCUCAGCCACUUCUGGGAUUAUGAGUGAGCUUGUGGUACAGUGUCCCCGUUGCCAGCAGAGGAGUGGUAAGAAAAUUGAUGGUCACCGGUCAACGUGUCCCCUCUGCUCCACGACACUACGGCGUGUGUACCAGUUCUGCUGGGCCUGCAGGCGAGACUGGCCCCAGGGGGUGACUGGGGGCAGCUCCUGCACUCUUCCAGGGUGCGCAAUCCGAGCUGCUCUCCUCUCCAACGAGACCAUCACUGCCGAUCGGAGCUCUGUCCACGGAUGUCCCUUCUUUCGGGCCUGUCCGAGCUGCAAAGCCCUUCUGACUCACACUGGUCAGGGCUGUCGAAACAUUGUGUGCCCACAUUGCCGUACUGCAUUCUGCUACCGCUGCCUGAAGAGAACGCCAUGUCGUGCCUGCACUAUGGUAGAUAACAGUGCAUCUCUUUAGCUUUAGGGCUCUAAGGGCUCAGAGUGGUAAGGAAAACUGAAAUCUGAAAAUAAUGCUAAGGGUUUAUUUUCAUUUGAAUGUCAUAUUCUGCUUUUAUGUUAGUAACUUUCUUAUGAUGUGCUUAUCUGUACAAUAUCAGACUCCAGCAUUGAACGUGCACCAUAAAAGCAAAUGUAAGUCUGUAAGUCAAAGAAAAAAUGAUACUGUUUUUUUUUUUUUUAAUUAACGCUCUGAUCCAACUACACCAGUGUAUCCAUAUAGUCCUGCUGUCUGUUUCCCAAUUAUCCCCAUUAAAAAGCCUGCCGAUUCAAAAAUA
Anguilla anguilla (European eel) is the source of this 920-nucleotide long non-coding RNA. RefSeq lists it as uncharacterized. Lineage: Eukaryota; Metazoa; Chordata; Actinopteri; Anguilliformes; Anguillidae. The transcript has 3 exons. The record is from RefSeq and is a predicted model, not a curated record.